RNAcentral lists this long non-coding RNA (2272 nucleotides) under Citrus sinensis (sweet orange). RNAcentral's name for it is "long non-coding RNA (CSIN_LNC002630)". The record is from RNAcentral. Lineage: Eukaryota; Viridiplantae; Streptophyta; Magnoliopsida; Sapindales; Rutaceae.
AUCAUCAAAAUUACUAGAAAUUCAUGUUAAGACCGAUAAUAUGUCAAUGGUUAAUCUAGAAACAUAUAAUAACCAAACAUCCAAUUAACCAUUAAAUGAUCAUGAACCAUCAUGCCAUCAAAAGAACGCUCAAAAUAAAUUUUAUCCAAAAUCAUAUUGUAUGCUCCCCCUAAAUAUAUGGCCAAUUAAAAACUUUAACCAAAAUGAUAUUAUCCAAAAACAUAUCAUAUUUAUCUCCCCUUUCAAAAGAAUAGAAAUUAACCAAAAUGAUAUUAUCCAAAAACAUAUCAUAUUUAUCUCCCCUUUCAAAAGAAUAGAAAUUAACCAAAAUGAUAUUAUCCAAAAACAUAUCAUAUUUAUCUCCCCUUUCAAAAGAAUAGAAAUUAACCAAAAUGAUAUUAUCCAAAAACAUAUCAUAUUUAUCUCCCCUUUCAAAAGAAUAGAAAUUAACCAAAAUGAUAUUAUCCAAAAACAUAUCAUAUUUAUCUCCCCUUUCAAAAGAAUAGAAAAAUGCAAUCGAAACAAGAGCAUAAAAAAUAAUUCGAUAAGGAUAUUACCAAUUUUGUGCGAGGAAAAAUUUCAGCAGAGUCUCCCCUUAAAAUGCACAAAUCCUCAAAUACACAUUGUGAUUAAUAACACUUCCAUAUAAGCUUAAACAAUUAUAACAAACCAACAACUCCAUUAAUUCAUCAAGCGGCACAUAUAUAAUCAUCAAACAUCAAAUUCAAUAUGAAUUCCCUGAACACUUGUAACAAUUAUAUCCGAGGAUAAAACAUUUUAAUUAAAUUUUCAUAGUAUUGCUCCUUAAUAACUAAAACAUUUUUUUUAAGCCCAUAGCAAUGAAAAAAUAACUAAGAGAUUUGUCACAAAUUUUUAAAUUCUUCAAAUUACAAAGAUUAACAAAAUAAGGAGCGAUAAUCGACCUCGACAUAAAAUUGUCGUAAAACCAUUUCCGAAGAGGUAGAUGCUGAAAGUGGGUUGAUAUGAACUCCGUAUUAUCUCCAUAAUUUUCCUUACAUCUCUUAGGCAACUUGUUUGCUCAUGGAUUUAUCACCAUCCACCAUUGUUGGAACAAAAACAAGCUUAAAGAUCCAAUUUCGGGUGUACAAAAAUUGAGUGAAAUGGAUUUGUUUGAGCCAAGAAAAUCGAUCCUAGAGAUGAAUGAAGCUAAUAUAUGAUGUAGAUUGGAUCAAAAAUGGGCUAAAGGAGGCUUGAAAAUGUAGAGAGAGAAACGGGUAGAGUUAGGUUUUUGAUUUUGGGUUUAAUGUGGAGAGUUGAUGAAAUGAAGUUUUGAGAACGAAAAUUGAAGGAGUAAUGGAUGAAUAAUGAUUUGGAUGAUUGAUUUUAACAAGAAAAUGAGUGAAAGAUGAAGAAUUUUGAGAGAGAAAUGGUGAGGUACUGUUCACUCGUGAGAGAUGAUGAUGAAAUGGUGAAAAAUAAGUGAAGAAAUCAUGAUGGAGAAGUGUUUAAUGAAGAUGAAAUGCAUGGGUAUUAGUUUGAAUGGUUGAUUUGGGCAUGAAAAUGGAUGAAAAAGGAAGAAAAUGGAGGUGAAAAUGGAGAGGAUGUUCACGGUUUUGGUGAGAGAAGAGAAACAUGUGCAGAAAAAUCACGAAGGAAGAAGAACAAGCAAAAAAAAAUUUCCCAACCAGUGACCAAGCGGCUAGCCGCUUGCUCUCGGGUUUGGGACAGUUUUCCAAGCGGCUAGCCGCCUGGUUGCUGUCCACUUGCACUCUACUUGCUUUUCGGCUUGUUUCUAUCAAUUCCGUGAUCAUUUUGUGAUCCCGAAACAUCUCAAGAGCCAAUUUAAUGCACAAUUCAUGAUUUUAAACAUCCAAAAGAUAAUUAAUUCAAACAAAUAAUCCAUCCAUCAAGCAUACAAUCAUGAAGCAUAUAAGCAUUCAAAACUUAAGAAAAUGCAGAAAGGUCAACUUCGAAAUAAAAACUGUAUUGAUUGAGCCAGAAUUAACAUGCAAGCUAUAUACCGUUGGAAAGAUAAUUAAGUUAGCUUUCCAAUAAAUUUUACAGAGAUGGAUUUGGAGUUCUCUAGAAGGAGUUAUGACCAAUUCAUUACAGCUUGUGCAAACUUGGGAUUUACACAAUAAUUAAACAUAUAAGCAUUCAAAAGUUAAUAAAUCAAACACACCACUUAACUAUCAUGCUUAAACACUUCAUAAACAUUAACAUCAAACAAAUCCAUCAUGAUGAGUUGAUAAACUAUCAUCAUUUAUAUAUAACCUUGCAUCAUGAUAAAACACUCAAUGUUAAACACAAU